Molecule: ribosomal RNA, 440 nt
Filed under: uncultured bacterium
Lineage: Bacteria
Description: bacterial SSU rRNA
Rfam family: Bacterial small subunit ribosomal RNA
Source: RNAcentral
CCUACGGGUGGCUGCAGUCGAGAAUCUUCGGCAAUGGGCGCAAGCCUGACCGAGCGACGCCGCGUGCGGGAUGAAGGCCUUCGGGUUGUAAACCGCUGUCGUAGGGGAGGAAAUGCCGGGGGGUUCUCCCCUCGGGUUGACCUAUCCUAGGAGGAAGGACGGGCUAAGUUCGUGCCAGCAGCCGCGGUAAUACGAACCGUCCGAACGUUACUCGGAAUCACUGGGCUUAAAGGGUGCGUAGGCCGCUCGGAGGGUGGGAUGUGAAAUCCCCCAGCUCAACUGGGGAAUAGCGUCCCAAACCGCCGGGCUUGAGGGAGACAGAGGUGAGCGGAACUGAUGGUGGAGCGGUGAAAUGCGUUGAUAUCAUCAGGAACACCAGUGGCGAAAGCGGCUCACUGGGUCUUUCCUAACGCUGAGGCACGAAAGCUAGGGGAGCGAAC